RNAcentral lists this ribosomal RNA (208 nucleotides) under uncultured bacterium. RNAcentral's name for it is "partial 16S ribosomal RNA". It matches the Rfam family "Bacterial small subunit ribosomal RNA", at positions 568 to 774 of the family's 1533-position model. The record is from RNAcentral.
CAUGUAGGAGGUUCGUUAAAUACGGGGUGAAAUCCCGAAGCUCAACUUCGGAACUGCCCUGUAGACUGAUGGACUAGAGUACCGGAGAGGUAAGCGGAAUACCAGGUGUAGCGGUGGAAUGCGUAGAUAUCUGGUAGAACACCAAGAGCGAAGGCAGCUUGCUGGACGGAAACUGACUCUGAAAGACGAAAGCAUGGGGAGGCAAACA